UUGGUUAAGUCCUCGACCGAUUAGUACUGGUCCGCUCCAUGCAUCGCUGCACUUCCACUUCCAGCCUAUCUACCUGAUCAUCUCUCAGGGGUCUUACUUCCAUAUAGGAAUGGGAAAUCUCAUCUCGAGGGGGGCUUCACACUUAGAUGCUUUCAGCGUUUAUCCCUGCCGUUCAUAGCUACCCAGCGAUGCGCCUGGCGGCACAACUGGUACACCAGCGGAACGUCCAUCCCGGUCCUCUCGUACUAAGGACAGCUCCUCUCAAAUUUCCUGCGCCCGCGACGGAUAGGGACCGAACUGUCUCACGACGUUCUGAACCCAGCUCGCGUACCGCUUUAAUGGGCGAACAGCCCAACCCUUGGGACCGACUACAGCCCCAGGAUGCGAUGAGCCGACAUCGAGGUGCCAAACCUCCCCGUCGAUGUGGACUCUUGGGGGAGAUAAGCCUGUUAUCCCCAGGGUAGCUUUUAUCCGUUGAGCGAUGGCCCUUCCAUACGGAACCACCGGAUCACUAAGCCCGACUUUCGUCCCUGCUCGACUUGUCAGUCUCGCAGUCAAGCUCCCUUAUACCUUUACACUCUGCGAAUGAUUUCCAACCAUUCUGAGGGAACCUUUGGGCGCCUCCGUUACAUUUUAGGAGGCGACCGCCCCAGUCAAACUGCCCACCUGACACUGUCUCCCGCCACGAUUAGUGGCGCGGGUUAGAGUGUUCAUACAGCUAGGGUAGUAUCCCACCAACGCCUCCAUCGAAACUAGCGUUCCGAUCUCUACGGCUCCUACCUAUCCUGUACAAGCGGUACAAACACUCAAUAUCAAGCUACAGUAAAGCUCCAUGGGGUCUUUCCGUCCUGUCGCGGGUAACCCGCAUCUUCACGGGUACUAUAAUUUCACCGAGUCUCUCGUUGAGACAGUGCCCAAAUCAUUACGCCUUUCGUGCGGGUCGGAACUUACCCGACAAGGAAUUUCGCUACCUUAGGACCGUUAUAGUUACGGCCGCCGUUUACUGGGGCUUCAAUUCUGGGCUUCGCUUGCGCUAACUCAUCCUCUUAACCUUCCAGCACCGGGCAGGCGUCAGCCCCUAUACAUCAUCUUACGAUUUAGCAGAGACCUGUGUUUUUGAUAAACAGUUGUUUGGGCCUAUUCACUGCGGCUGACCUUGCGGUCAGCACCCCUUCUUCCGAAGUUACGGGGUCAUUUUGCCGAGUUCCUUAACGAGAGUUCGCUCGCUCACCUGAGGAUACUCUCCUCGACUACCUGUGUCGGUUUGCGGUACGGGUAGUUUAUUUCUCACUAGAAGCUUUUCUUGGCAGUGUGACAUCAGGAACUUCGCUACUAUAAUUUCGCUCCCCAUCACAGCUUGUCCUUAAGACUGCAAGCAUUUCACUCGCUGUCAGACUUGCUGCUUGGGCGCACAUUUCCAGCCGUGCGCUUUCCUUAGCCUCCUGCGUCCCUCCAUCGCUUAAACAAAAUAAACUAGUGCAGGAAUCUCAACCUGCUUGUCAUCGACUACGCCUCUCGGCCUCGCCUUAGAUCCCGACUAACCCUGGGAGGACGAGCCUUCCCCAGGAAACCUUAGUCAUACGGUGGAUCAGAUUCUCACUGAUCUUUCGCUACUCAUGCCGGCAUUCUCACUUCUAAGCGCUCCAGCCGUCCUCACGAUCGACCUUCAACGCCCUUAGAACGCUCUCCUACCGCGCACCCUUACGGGUGCACCCACAGUUUCGGUAUUAUGCUUAGCCCCGGUAUAUUUUCGGCGCAGUGCCACUCGACUAGUGAGCUAUUACGCACUCUUUAAAUGGUGGCUGCUUCUGAGCCAACAUCCUAGUUGUCUGUGCAACGCCACAUCCUUUUCCACUUAGCAUAAAUUUAGGGACCUUAACUGGUGAUCUGGGCUGUUCCCCUUUCGACAAUGGACCUUAUCGCUCACUGUCUGACUCCCGGAGUAAGAUCGAUGGUAUUCGGAGUUUAUCUGAAUUCAGUAACCCUUGAUGGGCCCCUAGUUCAAACAGUGCUCUACCUCCAUGAUCCAUCCUCCGAGGCUAACCCUAAAGCUAUUUCGGAGAGAACCAGCUAUCUCCAAGUUCGUUUGGAAUUUCACCGCUACCCACAACUCAUCCCAGCAUUUUUCAACAUACAUGGGUUCGGUCCUCCAGUGUGUUUCACCACACCUUCAACCUGGUCAUGGGUAGGUCACUUGGUUUCGGGUCUACAUCUGCUUACUCAUUCGCCCUGUUCAGACUCGCUUUCGCUACGGCUCCGACUUUUCAUCUUAACCUCGCAAGCAAACGUAACUCGCCGGUUCAUUCUACAAAAGGCACGCCAUUACCCAUUAACGGGCUUUGACUAAUUGUAGGCACACGGUUUCAGGAACUGUUUCACUCCCCUUCCGGGGUGCUUUUCACCUUUCCCUCACGGUACUGGUUCACUAUCGGUCACUAGGGAGUAUUUAGCCUUGGGAGAUGGUCCUCCCGGAUUCCGACGGAAUUUCACGUGUUCCGCCGUACUCAGGAUCCUG
Molecule: ribosomal RNA, 2515 nt
Filed under: Lacticaseibacillus paracasei ATCC 334
Lineage: Bacteria; Bacillati; Bacillota; Bacilli; Lactobacillales; Lactobacillaceae
Description: Lactobacillus paracasei ATCC 334 23S ribosomal RNA
Source: RNAcentral